UUAUGUUCUAAAAAAUCAUUAAAACAUAAGUCCAACAGUUAUGCGUGAAGAGUGAAACACCUCUAAAAACAACACUGAAAUAAAAAAGGGAAUAUAAUCCUUGAACCAUAGCUGCCGCUGGUGCACAGAAAUACACCAACACGACACCCUUUCAAUCGGGGAAUCCGCCGCACGUGGAGGGCUGCAUCAGCCGAAGUUCUACAUUGCAGUAUUUCAAGAUGAUUAACAUUGAACCACCAUUUUUGAUGUUGGUUGUUUUCAAACCAAAAUCCGAUCUUGAUUUUAAAAAUCCAAUUUCAAAAUUUCAACUUAAAUUUUAAUUAACCCACGAAAAAAUUGAGAUUGGUUUUGCUUUUACCGUUUUGGGCGACAGUGGUCUGAUGCGGCGGCACUAGGGCAGCGAUUGACAACAGAGAAAUGGCGGCGGAGUCUUCGAUUGAGUUUGGUGAGCUAUGGAAUAGCGAUGAGAGGUUAUGGAAUCUGGAAAAGAGUUGACGAAAGGGGUUUCGGAUAUUGAGAAUUUUUCUUUAAAAUCAUAGGAGAAGAAUAGAAACAGAGAGAGAUUGGUUUUGCUUUUACCGUUUGGGAGACGUUGGUCUGAUGCGGCGGCGCUAGGGCGGCAGUUGACGAUCGAGAAAUGGUGGCCGAAUCUUCAAUUGAGUUUGGUGAGCGAUGGAUCGACGAAGAGCGGUUAUAGAAUCUGGAAGAGAAAGAGAGUGGAUGAAAAGGGUUUCAGAAUCGUGGAGAAGAAUUCAAUCGUGGUUAAUAUUAGUUUGAAAGAACGUGGGAGAGAUAAAAUCUGGCACUAAAAUUUACCGUUAAACUGGUGUUUUAUAUAAUAUAUAGAUUUCUUCCGAGUUUCUUAUCUUUUAUUUGUUUCUC
RNAcentral lists this long non-coding RNA (882 nucleotides) under Salvia miltiorrhiza (redroot sage). Its description in RNAcentral is "long non-coding RNA (SMIL_LNC008036)". The record is from RNAcentral. Lineage: Eukaryota; Viridiplantae; Streptophyta; Magnoliopsida; Lamiales; Lamiaceae.